Molecule: ribosomal RNA, 429 nt
Filed under: bacterium
Lineage: Bacteria
Description: partial 16S ribosomal RNA
Rfam family: Bacterial small subunit ribosomal RNA
Source: RNAcentral
UAGGGAAUCUUCGGCAAUGGGGGCAACCCUGACCGAGCAACGCCGCGUGAGUGAAGAAGGUUUUCGGAUCGUAAAGCUCUGUUGUAAGAGAAGAACGUGUGUGAGAGUGGAAAGUUCACACAGUGACGGUAACUUACCAGAAAGGGACGGCUAACUACGUGCCAGCAGCCGCGGUAAUACGUAGGUCCCGAGCGUUGUCCGGAUUUAUUGGGCGUAAAGCGAGCGCAGGCGGUUUAAUAAGUCUGAAGUUAAAGGCAGUGGCUUAACCAUUGUUCGCUUUGGAAACUGUUAAACUUGAGUGCAGAAGGGGAGAGUGGAAUUCCAUGUGUAGCGGUGAAAUGCGUAGAUAUAUGGAGGAACACCGGUGGCGAAAGCGGCUCUCUGGUCUGUAACUGACGCUGAGACUCGAAAGCGUGGGGAGCAAACAGG